GCACCUGUAGCUCAGUGGUAGAGCGCUUGCCUCGUAAGCAAGAGGUCGGGGGUUCAAAUCCCCCCAGGCGCU
This 72-nucleotide transfer RNA is filed under the name Nanobdellota archaeon. RNAcentral's name for it is "tRNA-Thr". It matches the Rfam family "tRNA". From Rfam's summary of the family: Transfer RNA (tRNA) molecules are approximately 80 nucleotides in length. Their secondary structure includes four short double-helical elements and three loops (D, anti-codon, and T loops). Lineage: Archaea; Nanobdellati; Nanobdellota. The record is from RNAcentral. RNAcentral also lists the same sequence under 1 other name.